This 301-nucleotide ribosomal RNA is filed under the name uncultured bacterium. Its description in RNAcentral is "partial 16S ribosomal RNA". It matches the Rfam family "Bacterial small subunit ribosomal RNA", at positions 509 to 807 of the family's 1533-position model. The record is from RNAcentral.
CAGCCGCCGCGGUAAUACGGAGGGAGCUAGCGUUGUUCGGAAUUACUGGGCGUAAAGCGCACGUAGGCGGCUUUGUAAGUUAGAGGUGAAAGCCUGGAGCUCAACUCCAGAAUUGCCUUUAAGACUGCAUCGCUUGAAUCCAGGAGAGGUGAGUGGAAUUCCGAGUGUAGAGGUGAAAUUCGUAGAUAUUCGGAAGAACACCAGUGGCGAAGGCGGCUCACUGGACUGGUAUUGACGCUGAGGUGCGAAAGCGUGGGGAGCAAACAGGAUUAGAUACCCCAGUAGUCCCUGUCUCUUAUAC